This 872-nucleotide ribosomal RNA is filed under the name uncultured archaeon. RNAcentral's name for it is "bacterial SSU rRNA". It matches the Rfam family "Archaeal small subunit ribosomal RNA", at positions 7 to 887 of the family's 1478-position model. The record is from RNAcentral.
GUUGAUCCUGCCGGUGGCCACUGCUAUCGGGGUUCGAUUAAGCCAUGCGAGUCGAGAGGUGUAAGACCUCGGCAUACUGCUCAGUAACACGUGGACAACCUACCCUGAGGAGGGGGAUAACCCCGGAAAACUGGGGAUAAUACCCCAUAGAUUAGGGAGGCUGGAAUGCCCCCUAGUUCAAAGGUCCGCCGCCUCAGGAUGGGUCUGCGGCCGAUUAGGUUGUUGUUGGGGUAAAGGCCCAACAAGCCUUUGAUCGGUACGGGUUGUGGGAGCAAGAGCCCGGAGAUGGAUUCUGAGACACGAAUCCAGGCCCUACGGGGCGCAGCAGGCGCGAAAACUUUACAAUGCGAGAAAUCGUGAUAAGGGAACCCCGAGUGCCCGUAAAUUCGGGCUGUCCGCCAGUGCAAAAAACUGGUGAAGAAAGAGCCGGGCAAGACCGGUGCCAGCCGCCGCGGUAAUACCGGCGGCUCGAGUGGUGGCCACUAUUACUGGGCUUAAAGCGUCCGUAGCUUGGUUGUUAAGUCUUCUGGGAAAUCCAUCGGCUUAACCGAUGGGAGUUCAGGAGAUACUGGCAACCUAGGGACCGGGAGCGGUGAGAGGUACUCCAGGGGUAGGAGUGAAAUCCUGUAAUCCUUGGGGGACCACCUGUGGCGAAGGCGUCUCACUAGAACGGCUCCGACAGUGAGGGACGAAAGCUGGGGGAGCAAACCGGAUUAGAUACCCGGGUAGUCCCAGCUGUAAACGAUGCGCGUUAGGUGUAUCGGUGACCACGAGUCACCGAGGUGCCGAAGGGAAACCGUGAAACGUGCCGCCUGGGAAGUACGGUCGCAAGGCUGAAACUUAAAGGAAUUGGCGGGGGAGCACCACAAGGG